CGGCCGCGUCGACGUUUGAUCCUGGCUCAGAGCGAACGCUGGCGGCAGGCCUAACACAUGCAAGUCGAACGGACCCUUCGGGGUUAGUGGCGGACGGGUGAGUAACACGUGGGAACGUGCCUUUUGGUUCGGAAUAGCUCCUGGAAACGGGUGGUAAUGCCGAAUGUGCCCUUCGGGGGAAAGAUUUAUCGCCAUUAGAGCGGCCCGCGUCUGAUUAGCUAGUUGGUGAGGUAAAGGCUCACCAAGGCGACGAUCAGUAGCUGGUCUGAGAGGAUGACCAGCCACAUUGGGACUGAGACACGGCCCAAACUCCUACGGGAGGCAGCAGUGGGGAAUCUUGCGCAAUGGGCGAAAGCCUGACGCAGCCAUGCCGCGUGAAUGAUGAAGGUCUUAGGAUUGUAAAAUUCUUUCACCGGGGACGAUAAUGACGGUACCCGGAGAAGAAGCCCCGGCUAACUUCGUGCCAGCAGCCGCGGUAAUACGAAGGGGCGUCGACGCGGCCG
This 503-nucleotide ribosomal RNA is filed under the name uncultured Brevundimonas sp. RNAcentral describes it as "bacterial SSU rRNA". It matches the Rfam family "Bacterial small subunit ribosomal RNA", at positions 1 to 547 of the family's 1533-position model. Lineage: Bacteria; Pseudomonadati; Pseudomonadota; Alphaproteobacteria; Caulobacterales; Caulobacteraceae. The record is from RNAcentral.